Molecule: long non-coding RNA, 1033 nt
Filed under: Salvator merianae (Argentine black and white tegu)
Lineage: Eukaryota; Metazoa; Chordata; Lepidosauria; Squamata; Teiidae
Description: lncRNA (ENSSMRG00000013691.1)
Source: RNAcentral
GUGUGAUUCAAUACUGCCAUCUUCUGUUAGUUCCUUCCUUUCUUACNCAUUUAUUUUUGUAAUAAAACACGUGCAAUCCAAGGUGAUUCUGCUAGAUGGCAGCAUAAAAAGAAGAACAAGGUUCGACGACUCUGUGUGCGCGUGUGCAUCGCUCUUUCCAGCUCUUUGGCGAUUUUGUUGGUUCCGCAGGAACUUGAAGUCGCAUGUUCGAAUGGAAAAAGAGUAGAUAAGGGAGACGCGUUUUGUGGUGACGGUUGUCUGUGUCUUAUAUGUNAAAUGUGAAUGUUAAAUCUGGGGCCGAAGAAAGUGGCUCGAAGCGAGGAAGUGAAAAUCAGUGCUGAGUCUGGAAGCAAACAGGGAAUGAGGCCAGGAAGGAAAUUCAGUGGCAGUAUAUCUGUCCAAUGUGAUUCCUCCAACAGAAAGAAGAUAUUAGAUUUAAUGGAUGGAGAAUUAUGUCCCUGUGGGACUAAAGUAAUUGAAACAACUGAUCAUGUACUUUUUAAACUGCUCCUUCUAUUGCAACCUCAUUACCUAUAAGAGCCUAAAUGACUUGGACUCCAAAUACUUAAAGGAACGUCUUCUUCCAUGUUGUCUGCCUGCAUGUUAAGAUCUGCAGGGGAGGACCUCCUGGUUGUACCAUCACCUUUGUAGUUCAAGGUGUGGAGACCUGGGAUAGGACCUUCUUGGUUUCUCCUGUGAGGUGUCCAUUUUAGAAUUUGUUUUUAUUGCUGUAACCCACCCUGAGAUCUUUGGGUAUAGGAUGGGAUAAAAAUGCAACUAACUAACUUACUCUCAUCAGAACCUAAUAGGUUAGAUAGAAGCUAUCAGCUUACCUCUUCGCUGACUAGUGUCAUAAUGUGUCAUUUCAAGUUGCUAAAUUCUGUUCAGCAGCAAUUAAGAUUUGUUCACAGUGCAUUAUAGCAGGAUGUUUACAUACCCAUACCAGUUGUUAGUUUUAAUUGUCAGUUGUAGAAUGAUUGCUAUAACGAUCAAAGAUCGUAAUAAAGGCACUCAGAAGACUGACCGGGCCUCA